This 88-nucleotide transfer RNA is filed under the name Caldicoprobacter faecalis. RNAcentral describes it as "Acetomicrobium faecale tRNA". It matches the Rfam family "tRNA". From Rfam's summary of the family: Transfer RNA (tRNA) molecules are approximately 80 nucleotides in length. Their secondary structure includes four short double-helical elements and three loops (D, anti-codon, and T loops). Lineage: Bacteria; Bacillati; Bacillota; Clostridia; Caldicoprobacterales; Caldicoprobacteraceae. The record is from Rfam by way of RNAcentral.
GGAGAGAUGGCCGAGUGGUUGAAGGCGCACGACUCGAAAUCGUGUGUGCGUGAUGAGCGCACCGUGGGUUCGAAUCCCACUCUCUCCG